This 254-nucleotide ribosomal RNA is filed under the name uncultured bacterium. Its description in RNAcentral is "partial 16S ribosomal RNA". It matches the Rfam family "Bacterial small subunit ribosomal RNA", at positions 524 to 776 of the family's 1533-position model. The record is from RNAcentral.
UACGUAGGGAGCGAGCGUUGUCCGGAUUCAUUGGGCGUAAAGAGCUCGUAGGCGGCUUGAUAAGUCGGAUGUGAAACCUCCAGGCUCAACCUGGAGUCGCCAUCCGAUACUGUCAUGGCUAGAGUCCGGUAGGGGCCCACGGAACUCCUGGUGUAGCGGUGAAAUGCGCAGAUAUCAGGAAGAACACCGGUGGCGAAGGCGGUGGGCUGGGCCGGCACUGACGCUGAGACGCGAAAGCGUGGGGAGCGAACAGG